This 539-nucleotide ribosomal RNA is filed under the name uncultured marine bacterium. RNAcentral's name for it is "bacterial SSU rRNA". It matches the Rfam family "Bacterial small subunit ribosomal RNA", at positions 384 to 916 of the family's 1533-position model. The record is from RNAcentral.
UGAUCAGCAUGCCGCGUGUGUGAGAAGCCUUCGGGUUGUAAAGCUGUUUCUAUACGGAGGAAAGGUUGUCUGUUAGUACCUUGUAGCUGGGACUGUACCAAUAAAGAAAGCACCGGUUAACUCCGUGCCCCCCGCCGCGGUAAUAGAGACGGUGCUUGCGUUAAUCCGAAUUACUGGGCGUAACCCGCGCGUAGGCGGUUAUUUAAAUCUGAUGUCAAAUCCCCGGGCUCAACCUGUGAAUUGCAUUUGAUACUGCUUGGCUUAAGUGUGGUAGAGGUGAAUGGAAUUUGAAGUGUAGCGAUGAAAUGCGUAUAGAUCUGAAAGAACAUCCGUGGCGAAGGCGACUCACUGGGCCAUUACUGACUCUAAGGUGCCAAGGCGUGGGUAGCAGACAAGAUUACAUACCCUGGCACUCCACGCCCUAAACGAUGUCAACUAGGUGUAUGGAGAAUUUAUUCUUUGUGUAUCGAAGCUAACGCGAUAAGUUGACCGCCUGGGGAGUACGGUCGCAAGACUAAAAACUCAAAGGAAUUUGACGG